RNAcentral lists this ribosomal RNA (432 nucleotides) under Triticum aestivum (bread wheat). Its description in RNAcentral is "partial small subunit ribosomal RNA". The record is from RNAcentral. Lineage: Eukaryota; Viridiplantae; Streptophyta; Magnoliopsida; Poales; Poaceae.
AUGCAUCAUCCCUCGCCGUUCCUCUUCCUCCUCCUCCUCCUCCUCGCCGCCUCGCCUCUGGUCGCCACCGCGGCGACGUUCAACUGCGUCGGCGGGGUAUACAAGGCCAACAGCACCUACGAGGCCAACCUCCGCCGCCUGGCCGCCGUGCUCCCGGCCGAGACCGCCUCCUCCCAAGACCUCCAGGCGACCCGCGGCGUGGGGUAUUGGCCCAACCGGCCGCGGGCCUCCACGCGGUGCUACUGGGGCGUCAGCCCUUCCUCCUGCGCCGCCUGCGUCGCCGGCGCCUUCCGGGAGGCGCAGAGGGAGUGCCCGUAUGGCAAGAAGGCGGUCGUCUUCGCCCGCAACUGCACUCUCAGCCUCGCCGAUUUUCCCAGAGCUCUCGGCUUCCGUGAGUUCUCUUCUCUCAUCUUUUUUCCAGAAGAUAAUUGA